UUUUUCCGUCCCUUCGAGAAUAUCGGAUAAAAUUGAAACGAUAGAGAGAAGAUUUGCAUAGCCCAUAUGCAAGGGUGGUCCAAAUUUUUGUUCUAUAAUAAACAAGGUA
RNAcentral lists this small nuclear RNA (109 nucleotides) under Nicotiana attenuata. The record is from RNAcentral. Lineage: Eukaryota; Viridiplantae; Streptophyta; Magnoliopsida; Solanales; Solanaceae.